RNAcentral lists this ribosomal RNA (301 nucleotides) under uncultured bacterium. RNAcentral's name for it is "partial 16S ribosomal RNA". It matches the Rfam family "Bacterial small subunit ribosomal RNA", at positions 509 to 809 of the family's 1533-position model. The record is from RNAcentral.
CAGUCGCCGCGGGAAUACGAAGGGGGCUAGCGUUGCUCGGAAUCACUGGGCGUAAAGGGUGCGUAGGCGGGUCUUUAAGUCAGAGGUGAAAUCCUGGAGCUCAACUCCAGAACUGCCUUUGAUACUGAGGAUCUUGAGUUCGGGAGAGGUGAGUGGAACUGCGAGUGUAGAGGUGAAAUUCGUAGAUAUUCGCAAGAACACCAGUGGCGAAGGCGGCUCACUGGCCCGAUACUGACGCUGAGGCACGAAAGCGUGGGGAGCAAACAGGAUUAGAUACCCGCGUAGUCCCUGUCUCUAAUAC